This 89-nucleotide transfer RNA is filed under the name Staphylococcus aureus. RNAcentral's name for it is "tRNA-Leu". It matches the Rfam family "tRNA". Rfam says of the family: Transfer RNA (tRNA) molecules are approximately 80 nucleotides in length. Their secondary structure includes four short double-helical elements and three loops (D, anti-codon, and T loops). The record is from RNAcentral. Lineage: Bacteria; Bacillati; Bacillota; Bacilli; Caryophanales; Staphylococcaceae.
GCCGGGGUGGCGGAACCGGCAGACGCACAGGACUUAAAAUCCUGCGGUGAGUGAUCACCGUACCGGUUCGAUUCCGGUCCUCGGCACCA